GAGAAAUUCAAUCUUUCCAAAGAAUUAUUGAAUUGGACUAUCACAUUUUAAUUAAAACCAAGGUUAGGCAGCUGAUCAGUUCCGCACUAACCCCGAGCAGGCCCCGCCAUGCUCUAUCACUGGAUCCAAGGCACUCAUUGGCCUAACAUGACCACGAAUCUGGUCCACAGGUUUAUAUAAAAACAAUAAUCCAAUUCUCUAAUUCAAUUCAAGAAGCCAAUGUAAAUUAACAGAACAUCAUCAUAAAUAUCAUCAACAACAGAAUAAUUCCAAUUCAAACUUUGAUAAUAAUCUAUUCAUAAAUCAUGAUCCAUCAUUUCAUAAAUCACAGUUCAGGAAAUCCUCAACUAUUCAGUAUCCUCCAUUAUCGGCUAAGCAACUGAAUUUAGCCUGCUAAACCAGCAUGACAAUGGCGGGUUGAAUAAUCAAGAAGAUCCCAAUUCAUUCAAAGCUCUAACUAUCACUGAGCAACACAUGCUUCAAUGACAAUCUGAACUUCGAAUUAAUUAAUAAAACGGAAAUUCUUUAGAAACUUGAAGAAUAGGAAGAAUGGAUCCGAACAUAUGCACUUUUAAAUAUAGAAAGGAAAGGUACGAAUUCUUGCAACAGAUACCAAAGGAAUGGAUCAGAAUAUUGGUCCACAGGUUUAUAUAAAAACAAUAAUCCAAUUCUCUAAUUCAAUUCAAGAAGCCAAUGUAAAUCAACAGAACAUCCUCAUAAAUAUCAUCAACAACAGAAUAAUUCCAAUUCAAACUUUGAUAAUAAUCUAUUCAUAAAUCAUGAUUCAUCAUUUCAUAAAUCACAGUUCAGGAAAUCCUCAACUAUUCAGUAUCCUCCAUUAUCGGCUAAGCAACUGAAUUUAGCCUGCUAAACCAGCAUGACAAUGGCGGGUUGAAUAAUCAAGAAGAUCCCAAUUCAUUCAAAGCUCUAACUAUCACUGAGCAACACAUGCUUCAAUGACAAUCUGAACUUCGAAUUAAUUUGUAAAACGGAAAUUCUUUAGAAACUUGAAGAUUAGAAAGAAUGGGUCAGAAUACUCGCACUUUCGAACAUUGAAAAGAAAGGUAUGAAUACUUGAAACAUAUACCAAAGGAAUGGAUCAGAAUAUUUGCAAUAUAUCCAAGAGAAAGGUUUAGGAUACUUGCAACACAUAUAAAAAGAAUGGAUCAGAAUAUGCAAUAUAUCCAAAAGCAGGGUGCAGGAUACUUGCCUUAAAUCUGACUCCAGUCUCACAUCUCAAUCUCAUCUUUCCACUUUCACAAUCUAUGCAUCUCAUAGUCUCUAGACCAUCUCUGGCUAUACUCUAUCUACCGUACAUCUUCGCUUCGCUUACUCGAUUCAUCCCUUAUUCACUUUGCAAUACCAUUCCGACUUCCUGACGUCUUCGAGCGUACACGUCUCGUUCAAAUCCUAUACGAGAAUAAGAUAAUACUAUAGUCACUAAACAAUAUAUCGCAUAUACAUAUCACGUAUAUCGAUACCCACUUAUAUAUCCCUUUAAACCUAUCACAUAUCACUUGACACAUAAUCAUGCUUUGACUCUAAUAUAUAGCCAAGUCAUAUUCCACAUAACAUGUUACAAAUCAAUUAUCAUAUGAAUCCUAUCGAAAAUCCGACAUCAUCUCGUCUAUUUAUUAGACUAUCCACCUGUUAUCUAAUCUCAAUCAACAAUCAACCAACCAAAUCCAAUCAUUAUAAUCCAUAUCUUCUUAUCCAAUAUCAAUCAACUCACGACACUAUGUCAUCCAAUUCUUUUAUCACACAUGUAUACUAUCAUGAAUAAACAUGUAUAUCACGUAAUCAUCAAUUAAUAGCAAUCAAUUAACAUAUAAUCACAUUGUGCACAUUUAACAACAAUUAUUCACAUUCUCGACUCCAUCAUAUUAUUAUGUUAUAUCAAACUAGACUUUAUAAGCUUCUGUCUCUCUUUCGUUUCACUUGAUUCCGACUUACGGAUCAAAAGUUAUGCUCAAAACAGUUUUCUCACUCUCCUAUCGGCACAUAACACAUCCAACCAAUAGCAGACAACACAUUACACAUAAGGUUUCCCAUCCCGAUUGAUAUCAAAUCAACUCUUGGGUUAAAAAUGAUUUUUCGGGAAUUUUCUGGAAUUUUUAAACAUUUUUUCGGAAUUAAAACGGAUAAAAGAAUCAUUUUUCAAAUAAAUAAUCAAGUCCGGAUGCUCAAAACUGGACUUGAAAUUAUUCAUAAACAAUUGUCGAGCCUUGAACAUAAUUUAGAAAAAUAUUUCAAAGCUCGAAACUAUUUUUCGGAAUUUUUAAAUCAAAAAGGAUUAAUUAAAUCCAAUUAAUUAAUCAAUUAAAAUCAAUUAAUAAUUAAUUAAAAUAAUUAAUCAAUUAAUAUUUAAAUUAAUUGACUAAUUAAAAUAAUUAAUUACUAAUUAAAAU
RNAcentral lists this long non-coding RNA (2408 nucleotides) under Daucus carota (carrot). Its description in RNAcentral is "long non-coding RNA (DCAR_LNC003847)". Lineage: Eukaryota; Viridiplantae; Streptophyta; Magnoliopsida; Apiales; Apiaceae. The record is from RNAcentral.